Molecule: long non-coding RNA, 105 nt
Organism: Sinocyclocheilus grahami
Lineage: Eukaryota; Metazoa; Chordata; Actinopteri; Cypriniformes; Cyprinidae
Exons: 3
Source: RefSeq, a predicted model, not a curated record
GAGUUCGCCACCCCUGAUCUAUAAGGUUUCUGUUAAUCAUAUGGUCAAACAUGUUACGGCUGAUUCAGCGGGAGGAUCUGAUAUGCAGCUUGAGAAGAAAGUGCA